This 614-nucleotide ribosomal RNA is filed under the name Salmonella enterica. Its description in RNAcentral is "partial 23S ribosomal RNA". It matches the Rfam family "Bacterial large subunit ribosomal RNA", at positions 2259 to 2867 of the family's 2925-position model. RNAcentral also lists the same sequence under 1 other name. The record is from RNAcentral. Lineage: Bacteria; Pseudomonadati; Pseudomonadota; Gammaproteobacteria; Enterobacterales; Enterobacteriaceae.
UGGUGGGUAGUUUGACUGGGGCGGUCUCCUCCUAAAGAGUAACGGAGGAGCACGAAGGUUGGCUAAUCCUGGUCGGACAUCAGGAGGUUAGUGCAAUGGCAUAAGCCAGCUUGACUGCGAGCGUGACGGCGCGAGCAGGUGCGAAAGCAGGUCAUAGUGAUCCGGUGGUUCUGAAUGGAAGGGCCAUCGCUCAACGGAUAAAAGGUACUCCGGGGAUAACAGGCUGAUACCGCCCAAGAGUUCAUAUCGACGGCGGUGUUUGGCACCUCGAUGUCGGCUCAUCACAUCCUGGGGCUGAAGUAGGUCCCAAGGGUAUGGCUGUUCGCCAUUUAAAGUGGUACGCGAGCUGGGUUUAGAACGUCGUGAGACAGUUCGGUCCCUAUCUGCCGUGGGCGCUGGAGAACUGAGGGGGGCUGCUCCUAGUACGAGAGGACCGGAGUGGACGCAUCACUGGUGUUCGGGUUGUCAUGCCAAUGGCACUGCCCGGUAGCUAAAUGCGGAAGAGAUAAGUGCUGAAAGCAUCUAAGCACGAAACUUGCCCCGAGAUGAGUUCUCCCUGAGACUUUAGGUCUCCUGAAGGAACGUUGAAGACGACGACGUUGAUAGGCCGGGUG